Long non-coding RNA from Alexandromys fortis (reed vole), 1070 nucleotides. RefSeq lists it as uncharacterized. The record is from RefSeq and is a predicted model, not a curated record. The transcript is spliced from 3 exons. Lineage: Eukaryota; Metazoa; Chordata; Mammalia; Rodentia; Cricetidae.
GAGACAGGCUGAAGGACACCUCCCUCCUCCUCAGGCUGCUUCCUCACCUCCCCAGCGACUGUGGACGUGGUUAGACCUGGAAAUUAAAUAUCUAUUCUUCCUGAUGAGGAGGAAGGUUGACUCAGAGAAGGCCAACUAUUUGUCCAGGUUACAGAGCCCAACACUCAGCCCCGGGGAUGAAGGGAUCGGUACAGGCCAAGACUUUCUGCUCUGAUGCAGCUACAGCCUACUCACCAGGAACAAACAGCCCCUUGACGACAAGGCCUUCUGUUCUAGGUACAGCCUCUCAUUCUCAUCAUCAUGUCCACAUCUGAGCUCUGCUUCGAUGAGACAUUCAGUGUGGGUGGGCAGCUUCAGCAAAGCAUGCAGUGUGAGUCAGCAGCUUCAACGAGGCAUGCAACAUGGAUCUGCAGCUUUGACAAGGCAUGUAGCUUGGAAUGGCAGGUCAUGUGCAAUGCCAUCAGACACUAAGGACAUUCCACGUACUUUUGUUUGCAUUGUUUGGCUUUUCUGACUUGGAGAAAAUACGGCAUUUCUUAUUAUUAAUAAUGAUACUGAAUUAAUAAUAAUGAUGAUGAUGUAUUGUUUUUGUUCGUUUUGUGUGUGCUGUAUUAUCUCACCAAUCCAACUCGAGUACAACAUGUAUUUCUUCUGCCUUAAUUUUAAUUUCUCUGCAAACCAUUCAGGGAAGAGUCCUUCUUAUUUUUCUGUUGUUCCUUUUCAUCUCAAUGGAGAGGCUACAUAAUUUCGAGCCACAGGUAGGGUGACCUCAUGAUUAUAAAUGCUCUCCCUGACCUGUCGAUUGGCAAGGACAAACCCAGUGCUCCUAUAGGAGAUGGAGGUUUGCGCUCUGUCUCCCUUUCAGCAAUGUGGAAAGUGAGGCCGACAGGAAAACAACCCUGAGAGACGCGGGGCCUUGAAGACUGGCCUGACUGAGGUGUGUGUCCUUCUGUGGAAAUGCAAACAUAGACGAAAGGCCCUAUAUUUAAUAUUAUUUCAAAAUAUGAAACAAUAUUAUGUUAUUUUUUCUAAAUUUUUACCCUGGUGUCACCUGAAUGGCCAUCCUUAAC